Arvicola amphibius (Eurasian water vole) is the source of this 450-nucleotide long non-coding RNA. RefSeq lists it as uncharacterized. The transcript is spliced from 2 exons. The record is from RefSeq and is a predicted model, not a curated record. Lineage: Eukaryota; Metazoa; Chordata; Mammalia; Rodentia; Cricetidae.
GUAAUCAACACAGUCCCCAGAUAAGGACAUUGGUGCCUGGGAGUCUAUGAGAACCAUCGCCCCACCCUGACCUGAAGGGCCAGAACUGAAGCCCAAGAUCUCCAGUGAUCAGAAGCCCAUGAACAGGAGAGACGGUUCCAUGCAACAUAUGCAAAGCCAGAUGACUAUUGCUGUCAACUGCAUGGAGUGAUCAACCAGAUCUCCCCUUUUCAAUGGCACGGUAACUGAAGCAGGCCAGAGCCAGGGCUGCAGCGGACGAGUCUAGAAACACAAGGACUCUAAGACCAACCGCCAGGUUUCAGCGCUCACGCUCCACAUCUCCUAACCCUUCUUCCUCGCAUGGGACUGUCUCAUAAGCCACACGGAGACCGCACUGGUAUGCAGAAGUCCCUGACGUGAAAUUUUUCAUUUGGGGGGUUGAUAAAAAAAAAAGUAGUUGUCAAAAGAACA